UGGAAACCGGGUAUUAUUUUUUUCUCGCAUUUCGCCACGUACAUACACGGGUGAGUUGAAAAGUUUCAGAGACCAUGACCAAAACAAUUAAAAAGACACAGCUUUUAGAGGACUUCUUUUAGGUUUGGUUUCGUACAAGAAUCUGCCAAUCUAAUUAAAACAUAACCGAGUCUGAAGAGGUGAUUGAUCAUGAUUUCUUCUGUUUUAACUUUUGUUAUUAUUCUGUUUAUUUUGCUGGAUUGUUUUUGGUGUUUGAUUUGAUUUUUUUGACUGAAUUGUCGGAGAACAUUGGCGGUUAAACUCCAUGGUAGACGGCAUAGAGGACAAUACUAUGGUGGGAUUCUGAAGAAAUCAAAGCCAAUUCAGCUCUCCAAUUCUCUAUGGCUAGGCUCGAAGAAGAGAUCUUCAACGUUCUUCUAUCCCAAACAUCUGUUUCAAAUCUGAUCUUCGAGGAAUCAUCAGUCUCCUCUCCCUCCUCACGCGCCAAAACUGGAGAAGGUAGCACCGGCGAUGGUGACGUUACGAAAGAAGAUGAUGUUACCGAAAAAGAUGGUGAUAGUUCAAGCCGGUUAACGCGUAGAAGAAAAAGUUACAGAUCCACAAGCAGAGGGACUAAACCGUAAUUCUCACCCUUUUUUUUUCUCUUUCCUGACCGAUUGUGCAAAUUUAAUAAAGUAAUGCAUUGUUACCUAAUUAAUUUACUUUCUAUGUAUAUAGAGCUAAAAAGCUCAAAAAAAAGUUAUGUUGAAAUGUGACAAAAUGACGCCAAAGAAAAAAAAAGCACUCAUCACAUGAUAAUCAAAUAACAUGCAUUUAAAAAUAUUAACAUAUAUACAGAAUAUGUUAAAUUAAAAAGCUAUAUCUUCUUAUGUUCAUUAUGAGUAUGCUUUUCAUAUGAUGUUAUGUAGAAAGGUUAUACAUGCUGUGUAAGUAAACAAUACUUGAAUAUAUGAUGAUGAAUGCAAAAUUGGA
RNAcentral lists this long non-coding RNA (972 nucleotides) under Brassica rapa (field mustard). Its description in RNAcentral is "long non-coding RNA (BRAP_LNC006300)". The record is from RNAcentral. Lineage: Eukaryota; Viridiplantae; Streptophyta; Magnoliopsida; Brassicales; Brassicaceae.